Exidia glandulosa HHB12029 is the source of this 104-nucleotide small nucleolar RNA. It matches the Rfam family "Small nucleolar RNA Z13/snr52". Rfam says of the family: Z13 or snr52 is a member of the C/D class of snoRNA which contain the C (UGAUGA) and D (CUGA) box motifs. Most of the members of the box C/D family function in directing site-specific 2'-O-methylation of substrate RNAs. NCBI's taxonomy places the organism in Eukaryota, Fungi, Basidiomycota, Agaricomycetes, Auriculariales, Exidiaceae. The record is from Rfam.
UGUCCCCGUAUGAUGAUAUACUACGGAUGUAAAAGAGCUUUGCUCAAAUCGUCCGAGAGCGCAUACUCCCAUGUGGAUUUUUCCGUUGCCUUCCUUCUGAGCAU